This 441-nucleotide long non-coding RNA is filed under the name Homo sapiens (human). RNAcentral's name for it is "HSALNT0160152". The record is from RNAcentral. Lineage: Eukaryota; Metazoa; Chordata; Mammalia; Primates; Hominidae.
CCCAGGACCACUGAACAUUCAGAGGGGGCUGGAGGCAGAGAAAAACUUCCCCUACUCAAGAAAAAGAAGCUAUUUUUGUCAAGUUAAAUGAGCCUGAACCUGCAGAGCUGAAUUGGCAGAUGAAUAUUGCUAAUUGGUGCAGUUUCUUCGGUGCAGGAAAGAGUUUCCAAUCAGACCGGCAAUUCAUUGGCCACAUGAAGGACAGCCAGUUGUAAGGGGUAAAAUAAAUUGGAGAAGAGAACAUCCACAUGGAUUAAGUCCCAAGCUCACCCUUUGUUAGUGAGAAUGUAGUCACGUGGCCAUACCUACUACAAGGUCUAUUUCUGGCAUCUCUUUCCACAGCACAGGCAGCCUUGCAGAAUGAAAAGUAUUUCUCCCACCUGCCCUGGCCUCUGCCCUGGCUCUGAAAGAGGCAGGCUGUGAAUGAUGGUUGUCAGUGUC